AGCGAACGCUGGCGGCAGGCCUAACACAUGCAAGUCGAACGAACUCUUCGGAGUUAGUGGCGGACGGGUGAGUAACACGUGGGAACGUGCCUUUUGGUUCGGAAUAACUCAGGGAAACUUGUGCUAAUACCGAAUGUGCCCUUCGGGGGAAAGAUUUAUCGCCAUUAGAGCGGCCUGCGUCUGAUUAGCUAGUUGGUGAGGUAACGGCUCACCAAGGCGACGAUCAGUAGCUGGUCUGAGAGGAUGACCAGCCACACUGGGACUGAGACACGGCCCAGACUCCUACGGGAAGCAGCAGUGGGGAAUCUUGCGCAAUGGGCGAAAGCCUGACGCAGCCAUGCCGCGUGAAUGAUGAAGGUCUUAGGAUUGUAAAAUUCUUUCACCGGGGACGAUAAUGACGGUACCCGGAGAAGAAGCCCCGGCUAACUUCGUG
Molecule: ribosomal RNA, 433 nt
Filed under: uncultured bacterium
Lineage: Bacteria
Description: partial 16S ribosomal RNA
Rfam family: Bacterial small subunit ribosomal RNA
Source: RNAcentral